UUAAAGGCUUUGAACAGGAGUAGUAAUAUUUAUUCUAUAUAAAGAGAACUGUUGGCUGGUGAAAAACAGUAUAGUAAAAUAUGAACUUGCCUGGGAGCUUGUCUAUUAGAAAUAGACACGGAUAAAACCGUUAUUUUUAUAAGAGAAAUCUAUUAAUUCAUAGGUUUAAUUAGAGUGGUACCGCGGAUAACCUUUCGUCUCUAUA
RNAcentral lists this non-coding RNA (205 nucleotides) under Clostridium botulinum. Its description in RNAcentral is "T-box sequence". It matches the Rfam family "T-box leader". Rfam says of the family: Uncharged tRNA acts as the effector for transcription antitermination of genes in the T-box leader family. T-boxes are found upstream of many aminoacyl-tRNA synthetase genes and some amino acid biosynthetic genes usually in Gram-positive bacteria. The record is from RNAcentral. Lineage: Bacteria; Bacillati; Bacillota; Clostridia; Eubacteriales; Clostridiaceae.